Polypterus senegalus (gray bichir) is the source of this 1134-nucleotide non-coding RNA. Lineage: Eukaryota; Metazoa; Chordata; Cladistia; Polypteriformes; Polypteridae. The record is from the annotation of a RefSeq genome assembly.
GACAUAAAGAGUGGAGUCACUGAGAUCGAGUCAGUUAAGCCUGUCUCUAAGACACAGUGGAGAUGGAUUUCUCACUUCUGUUUUUAGUGACCUUCUUUGUGUUGUUUGAAGGGUCCUGUGGAGAUAUCAUCAUGACUCAGUCUCCCUCAAGUCUCUCUGCACGGCCAGGAGAAACUGUCAGCUUAAAUUGUAAAACCAGCAGUACAAUUUUGUAUAACAGUAAAAACUACCUGGCCUGGUAUCAACAGAAAUCAGGAGAAGCUCCAAAACUGCUGAUUUAUUAUGCUAGCACUCUGCAGUCUGGGAUCUCAAGUCGCUUCAGUGGCAGUGGCUCUGGACUUGAUUACACGCUGACCAUCAGUAACGUGCAGCCUGAAGAUGGAGGAUACUACUACUGUCAGCAGGGCUACAGCACUCCUUUCACACAGUGACACAGAGCCGUACAAAAACUCACUUGACUUGUCUGUGCAGCUGCUGUCCUUAAUUUUGCUGGUGCUGAGAGAAACUGUAAGUGACGGGGUUGGCAGACAAAGGAGAAAGAAACAAAAUAAGAAACAGAGAACAGAAAGAGAGUCUUCUGAUCACAACAUAUUACAGAAAGGGCAACAUGUGAGAAAAUGACCCAAUCCAGAAAACCUUUAGGAUAAAGAAAUAAUAUUCUGAAAUAUUUAUAUAUUACUAGCUGUGUUAGUUGUCUUUGCCUGGAAAAUUUCAUAAGGUAAUGGAACUUAGUUAUAUUGUAGUUGGUUAUUUGAAAGUAUUGCAAGUACUUUGUAAAUACUUUAAAAUGUGUACAGUACUUAUAGUUUGUUUUUUGUUUUAAUAAAAAACUAAUAUUACUAGCAGGAAGUGUGACAUAGUGGUCAAGGCUUCAGACUUCUAACCUUGUGGUUCAAAUCCUGGUACUGACACUGUGUGACGAUGAGCCGGUCACUGCACCUUUAUGUCUUCUAAUUUGGAAAAAGAAAUUAAAUCAACUGUAUCUCGAAUGUUAUCAGUUAUCUUUAAUAAAAACACCAUAGAAAUAAUUAAUAAUUAUAUUAUCUGUUCACUGGAGCAGCGUACUCUUAAACAUCCAUCUAUCCAUUAUCCAACCUGCUAUAUCCUAACUACAGGGUCACGAGGGUCUGCUGA